AGAGUUUGAUCCUGGCUCAGAUUGAACGCUAGCGGGAUGCUUUACACAUGCAAGUCGAACGGCAGCACGAGAGAGCUUGCUCUCUUGGUGGCGAGUGGCGGACGGGUGAGUAAUAUAUCGGAACGUGCCCAGUAGCGGGGGAUAACUACUCGAAAGAGUGGCUAAUACCGCAUACGCCCUACGGGGGAAAGGGGGGGAUCGCAAGACCUCUCACUAUUGGAGCGGCCGAUAUCGGAUUAGCUAGUUGGUGGGGUAAAGGCUCACCAAGGCAACGAUCCGUAGCUGGUUUGAGAGGACGACCAGCCACACUGGGACUGAGACACGGCCCAGACUCCUACGGGAGGCAGCAGUGGGGAAUUUUGGACAAUGGGGGAAACCCUGAUCCAGCCAUCCCGCGUGUAUGAUGAAGGCCUUCGGGUUGUAAAGUACUUUUGGCAGAGAAGAAAAGGCAUCCCCUAAUACGGGAUGCUGCUGACGGUAUCUGCAGAAUAAGCACCGGCUAACUACGUGCCAGCAGCCGCGGUAAUACGUAGGGUGCAAGCGUUAAUCGGAAUUACUGGGCGUAAAGCGUGUGUAGGCGGUUCGGAAAGAAAGAUGUGAAAUCCCAGGGCUCAACCUUGGAACUGCAUUUUUAACUGCCGAGCUAGAGUAUGUCAGAGGGGGGUAGAAUUCCACGUGUAGCAGUGAAAUGCGUAGAUAUGUGGAGGAAUACCGAUGGCGAAGGCAGCCCCCUGGGAUAAUACUGACGCUCAGACACGAAAGCGUGGGGAGCAAACAGGAUUAGAUACCCCGGUAGUCCACGCCCUAAACGAUGUCAACUAGCUGUUGGGGCCGUUAGGCCUUAGUAGCGCAGCUAACGCGUGAAGUUGACCGCCUGGGGAGUACGGUCGCAAGAUUAAAACUCAAAGGAAUUGACGGGGACCCGCACAAGCGGUGGAUGAUGUGGAUUAAUUCGAUGCAACGCGAAAAACCUUACCUACCCUUGACAUGUCUGGAAUGCCGAAGAGAUUUGGCAGUGCUCGCAAGAGAACCGGAACACAGGUGCUGCAUGGCUGUCGUCAGCUCGUGUCGUGAGAUGUUGGGUUAAGUCCCGCAACGAGCGCAACCCUUGUCAUUAGUUGCUACGCAAGAGCACUCUAAUGAGACUGCCGGUGACAAACCGGAGGAAGGUGGGGAUGACGUCAAGUCCUCAUGGCCCUUAUGGGUAGGGCUUCACACGUCAUACAAUGGUCGGGACAGAGGGUCGCCAACCCGCGAGGGGGAGCCAAUCUCAGAAACCCGAUCGUAGUCCGGAUCGCAGUCUGCAACUCGACUGCGUGAAGUCGGAAUCGCUAGUAAUCGCGGAUCAGAAUGUCGCGGUGAAUACGUUCCCGGGUCUUGCACUCACCGCCCGUCAA
Molecule: ribosomal RNA, 1397 nt
Filed under: uncultured bacterium
Lineage: Bacteria
Description: bacterial SSU rRNA
Rfam family: Bacterial small subunit ribosomal RNA
Source: RNAcentral